UUCGGUCAUAUCCAGUUGAAACACGGGUUCCCGUACGAUCGCCGACGUUAAGCAUAGUCGAGCCUGGUGAAUAUUUAGAUGGGUGACCGCUUGGGAAUAUCCGAUGUUGUAAG
Acanthosepion pharaonis is the source of this 113-nucleotide non-coding RNA. The record is from the annotation of a GenBank genome assembly. Lineage: Eukaryota; Metazoa; Mollusca; Cephalopoda; Sepiida; Sepiidae.